CUGCUGAGUUGGUACUUCCGGUUAAGUGCGUUUUAGUCAGCUGGUUGUUUGUCACGCGAGCCUGAAAACCUCCGAGUGAAGGUAGUUUAAAGGAUCCCUGCUGCAGGUACAGUUUGUGUUGCGAGUAUAAGUCGCGUGACUGAGUCCCUUCACAUCCGCGUGCACCAAACUCCACCAAAGACUUAAAUCUCCGCUCAGUCCAUAACAAACUGACGUCGCUGACCCGUUCUGUUGUUUUGAUAUUACCUCCGAGACUUCCAACAAAUAUCUUCAGUACAAUGUCAUCAGUGAAGGUGGAGUGCGUGGUGAAGGCGGGCGCUCUGAUUGGUGAAGGGCCGCUGUGGGAGGAGUCACAGCAGAUGCUGAUGUUUGUCGACAUUGCUGGGUGGAAAAUCCACCGCUGGAGCCCAACGACCAAUCAGAGCGAGUCUGUGGAUACAGGUGACUCGGUGGGUUUCGUGGUUCCUCGACGUUCAGGUGGUUACGUUGCAGGUGUGGGUCGCAGCCUUGUGGCUGUUGAUUGGUCGACUCAGAUGAUGACAUCACUGGUGGAGGUCGACGAGGACAAACCGAGAAACCGUCUGAACGAUGGGAAGGUGGAUCCGAUCGGACGCCUGCUGGCAGGUACGAUGGGGGAGGAGCAGCGACCUGCAGAGGUUCAGAGACAACAAGGAUCUUUAUUCUCUGUGACCUCUGACCUCUCUGUGACCCAACACCUGUCACAGGUGGAUAUUUCUAACGGGAUGGACUGGUCUUUGGAUCAGAAGACGUUUUUCUACAUCGAUAGUUUGUCUCUGACUGUCGAUGCCUUCGACUACGACUUGAACUCCGGAAACCUCGGUAAUCGGCGCAUUGUGUAUCGUAUGGCUGAGGGGGAGGGGCUUCCAGACGGGAUGACGGUCGAUGCUGAAGGUCGUCUCUGGGUGGCGUGUUACAACGGAGGACGAGUCAUCAACAUCGACCCCAAUACUGGUGUGCGGCUGCAGACCGUCUCUCUGCCGGUGGCGAAGACGACUUCCUGUUGUUUUGGCGGUCCGGACUUCUCCGACCUCUACGUGACCUCAGCCAGUCUUGGCCUCAGUCAAUCAGAGAGCCGGCAGCAGCCGCUGGCCGGAGGAACUUUCAGGGUGACCGGACUCGGGGUCAAAGGUCAUCCUUCAAACUCAUUCUUUGGAUGACCUUCAGCUGCAGGACGUCGUCUUUAAUCCUCACUAACAAAAAUCUGAUUGUAGUUUGAAUGUUGAUUCAUAAAUAAAUGAGGGAGACAGCCAAUCAGAAAUUAGGAUGCUGUGACACAGAGAGCCAAUCCAAUGUUCUGUUCUUUGUAGAAUGAGUGAAAAUAAAACAGUUAGUGUUGAAGAUCUGCAGCUGAGUUAAUACAGGUGGCAAGCAUGUGAUUUUGGAAGUUCAACCUCAGUUCCUAUAAUAAAUCAAUAAACAGUGAAGCCAAAUUACAUAUUUUUCGAAAAACGUUCCUAUAUUUUAUGUACAUUUUUUAUCUGUCUGGACUUGAAGGAAUCCCAAACGGGAGAAGCUGAAGACUACAACACCCAUGAUGCCACGCUGCGUCAGCAGGUGGUAGAAAAGUACAUGUUGUGUGUGAGUCCCCCCCCGGCCCCCCCGCAUCCUGACCUUCAUCCAUAAUCCUGAAUCAGGUCAGUUUGUCUUCUUAAUGUCAGAAUCCUUUAGUAGCUCCAGGUUUCUGAAUACUUGCAUUUUGUUUCUGGAUAAAAUAUGUUUGUGCUCCAGAUUAAAGGUCUUCACUCGGUGGGGCGAUGCUUGCUUUACUGCGCGGCGACAUCUUUAUUUUCUAAACGAGGUAUCUGACCCGGGAAUAAAGGAUCAAGGCUUGUUUAUACAGUAAAACACAAUGUAAUGAAAGCAGAACCCUGUAAAAGAUCCAGUUAAAGACACGCAGCGAAGGAACCCGGAGAACAACCACAGAACCACAACUCUGCAUCAACAGACGCUAAAUUGACACAUUUGUGAAUGGAGUUUGGUGUGGAGCAUCUCAGGGAACCUGACCAAUAAAACAACAUACAAAACAUGAUGUCAUCAGGUCACAUGGAGCAGAACAAACUAAAGUUCAAAGUGCUGAUUGGUCCCAUCGAUUUAAAAGUGGAUAUGGCCAGCUGAACAUGCUGACCUAUAAACUCUAAAAGUGCGUUUCCGUCCGCAUGUUUUUAUGUUCAUAUCAAUUUGUG
This is an RNA transcript of Cottoperca gobio, 2204 nucleotides long. It is a transcript of the gene named regucalcin, with no coding region annotated. Lineage: Eukaryota; Metazoa; Chordata; Actinopteri; Perciformes; Bovichtidae. The transcript has 9 exons. The record is from RefSeq and is a predicted model, not a curated record.